RNAcentral lists this transfer RNA (67 nucleotides) under Cucujoidea sp. 5 KM-2017. RNAcentral's name for it is "tRNA-Trp". Lineage: Eukaryota; Metazoa; Arthropoda; Insecta; Coleoptera. The record is from RNAcentral.
AAGGAUUUAAGUUAAAUUAAAAAACUAAUAACCUUCAAAGUUAUAAAUAGAAUAUUUCUAAGCCUUA